AUUGAACGCUGGCGGCAGGCCUAACACAUGCAAGUCGACCGAGUGGCGGACGGGUGAGUAAUGUCUGGGAAACUGCCCGAUGGAGGGGGCUAACUACUGGAAACGGUAGCUAAUACCGCAUACUAUCGGAUGUGCCCAGAUGGGAUUAGCUAGUAGGUGGGGUAACGGCUCACCAAGGCGACGAUCCCCAGCUGGUCUGAGAGGAUGACCAUCCACACUGGAACUGUGACAAGGCCCAGACUCCGACGUGAGGCAGCAGUGGGGAAUAGUGGACAAUGGGCGCAAGCCUGAUGCAGCCAUGCCGCGUGUAUGAAGAGGGCCUUCGGGUUGUAAAGUACUUUCAGCAAGGAGGCGUUACUCGCAGAAGAAGCAACGGCUAACUCCGUGCCAGCAGCCGCGGUAAUAC
Molecule: ribosomal RNA, 406 nt
Filed under: uncultured bacterium
Lineage: Bacteria
Description: partial 16S ribosomal RNA
Rfam family: Bacterial small subunit ribosomal RNA
Source: RNAcentral